CAGGGAAUAGUUUAAAUAGAAUAUCAACUUUGGGUGUUGAUGGUAAGAAAUUAGUCUUUUCCUUGA
This 66-nucleotide transfer RNA is filed under the name Atelerix albiventris (middle-African hedgehog). RNAcentral describes it as "tRNA-Pro". Lineage: Eukaryota; Metazoa; Chordata; Mammalia; Eulipotyphla; Erinaceidae. The record is from RNAcentral.